UCCAAGUGGCAGUCCGAUUGGUUGGCGU
RNAcentral lists this non-coding RNA (28 nucleotides) under Mus musculus (house mouse). The record is from RNAcentral. Lineage: Eukaryota; Metazoa; Chordata; Mammalia; Rodentia; Muridae.